AUUUUAUUGUAAAGUUAAUAUUUCAAGAAGUCCACUUGGAGCUCUUAGAUAAACCUAGCAUCUAGGCCUACUAUAAUCCAUCGCCGUAGAUCAAGUCAUAAUCAUUCAUAAAAAAUUUAAAGGGAGUAGUGUUUGACUGUACCUUGAAACCAUCAUCUACAUUGAAUAAGUUUAAAGUUUGACUAAACUUUGUUUCGAAUGCACCUGUGAUGUUUUAAAAGAUUUGUUUGUGUUACUGACUUCAUCAAAUGAAGAUUCAGAUCUGAAGGUCAAUUGUUGGUGUCAAGGUUCAGGUACUUUGGAUCAAUGUUUGACAGAAAAGCCUGAAGGAGUCGUGUGUUUAUCAUCACUCCUUAUGACUGAGGGCUUGAGAAGCUAAAAUCUUUUUCAAAAAGCCAUGAACCAACUUUUGCUGUUAUGUGCAAUGCACCUCACUAUACAAGUCAAAAGCAUGUAUCUUUCCAGACAUCCUGUUUUGUAAACAAGGCUCAAGCUAUAUUUAAAUUUCAAGUUCUUAGUUAUCAAAGGAUCAAUGCAUCAUUUGGAAGACAAAUCACAAAUUCAAGACACAAGCCAUUUCAAGAGAAAUUUAAACUUCCUAGUAUUAUCUUUUGUAUUUAAAAUGUACAAACAUCAAAUCUUUACUAGCACUAUGAGUAAUAUUAUUCUGAUCAAUGUUUAUGUCAACUGUCACAUUCUUAAAUAUAGACAUACUUCUUAUAUAGCCACUUAUCUAUUAACAUUAUUAUUUUAAUUUUAUUAUGUCAACUUAUUACACUAUAAAUUAGAAUGUCUUGUGUAC
Molecule: long non-coding RNA, 802 nt
Organism: Biomphalaria glabrata
Lineage: Eukaryota; Metazoa; Mollusca; Gastropoda; Planorbidae
Exons: 3
Source: RefSeq, a predicted model, not a curated record